GCAGCAGCCACGGUAAUACGUAGGUGGCAAGCGUUGUCCGGAAUUAUUGGGCGUAAAGGGCUCGCAGGCGGUUUCUUAAGUCUGAUGUGAAAGCCCCCGGCUCAACCGGGGAGGGUCGUUGGAAACUGGGAAACUUGAGUGCAGAAGAGGAGAGUGGAAUUCCACGUGUAGCGGUGAAAUGCGUAGAGAUGUGGAGGAACACCAGUGGCGAAGGCGACUCUCUGGUCUGUAACUGACGCUGAGGAGCGAAAGCGUGGGGAGCGAACAGGAUUAGAUACCCCCGUAGUCCCUGUCUCUUAUAC
This 302-nucleotide ribosomal RNA is filed under the name uncultured bacterium. Its description in RNAcentral is "partial 16S ribosomal RNA". It matches the Rfam family "Bacterial small subunit ribosomal RNA", at positions 508 to 807 of the family's 1533-position model. The record is from RNAcentral.